This 259-nucleotide ribosomal RNA is filed under the name Serratia marcescens. RNAcentral's name for it is "partial 23S ribosomal RNA". It matches the Rfam family "Bacterial large subunit ribosomal RNA", at positions 412 to 674 of the family's 2925-position model. The record is from RNAcentral. Lineage: Bacteria; Pseudomonadati; Pseudomonadota; Gammaproteobacteria; Enterobacterales; Yersiniaceae.
GUAGGGCGGGACACGUGACAUCCUGUCUGAAUAUGGGGGGACCAUCCUCCAAGGCUAAAUACUCCUGACUGACCGAUAGUGAACCAGUACCGUGAGGGAAAGGCGAAAAGAACCCCGGCGAGGGGAGUGAAAUAGAACCUGAAACCGUGUACGUACAAGCAGUGGGAGCACCUUCGUGGUGUGACUGCGUACCUUUUGUAUAAUGGGUCAGCGACUUAUAUUUUGUAGCAAGGUUAACCGUAUAGGGGAGCCGUAGGGA